GCGGGGGACCGAAAGGCCUCGCGCUCAAGGGGCGGCCGAUGGCAGAUUAGCUAGUUGGUGGGGUAAAGGCCUACCAAGGCGACGAUCUGUAGCUGGUCUGAGAGGACGACCAGCCACACUGGGACUGAGACACGGCCCAGACUCCUACGGGAGGCAGCAGUGGGGAAUUUUGGACAAUGGGGGCAACCCUGAUCCAGCAAUGCCGCGUGUGUGAAGAAGGCCUUCGGGUUGUAAAGCACUUUUGUCCGGAAAGAAAACCGCUUCUCUAAUACAGAGGUGGGAUGACGGUACCGGAAGAAUAAGCACCGGCUAACUACGUGCCAGCAGCCGCGGUAAUACGUAGGGUGCGAGCGUUAAUCGGAAUUACUGGGCGUAAAGCGUGCGCAGGCGGUUCGCUAAGACCGAUGUGAAAUCCCCGGGCUUAACCUGGGAACUGCAUUGGUGACUGGCGGGCUAGAGUAUGGCAGACGGGGGUAGAAUUCC
This 483-nucleotide ribosomal RNA is filed under the name uncultured bacterium. Its description in RNAcentral is "bacterial SSU rRNA". It matches the Rfam family "Bacterial small subunit ribosomal RNA", at positions 192 to 670 of the family's 1533-position model. The record is from RNAcentral.